This 975-nucleotide long non-coding RNA is filed under the name Phascolarctos cinereus (koala). RNAcentral's name for it is "lncRNA (ENSPCIG00000009613.2)". Lineage: Eukaryota; Metazoa; Chordata; Mammalia; Diprotodontia; Phascolarctidae. The record is from RNAcentral.
CCGUGGGAAACCUCCCAGGCCUGGAUUGGUCCAUCCCUUCCCAGGUUACACCUUUCCUUACAUGUUUCCCCUUGAUAUGCUCAAGUAUGUUCCCCCUCCCUUGGUCAUAAGUCCCAUGACUCGUUAAUGAGGCUCUAAUUUUAUGCGGGGUGUGUCAGAUAAUACUAAUGAAUUUCAUUAAGCAGGUGCACUAACAUUUUUCAGGUGUCCUCAGGUUGACCCUAACUGGUCUGAGCUGGCUCCACCCUUAUCUUGAUUUUGGAGUCUUUAUGGAACCAUCAACUUACUUUUUAUUGGCUAAGCCCGAGCCCACCUGCAGUGUACUACUUCCUGGAGUUCUUUAAAUCUCUGCAUUUUUCUACCUGUGGAAACAUAAGCCCUUCUAACUCUAACCAUCCUGAGCAGGUCACUUAACCCUGAUGCAUCCGUUUCCUUAUCUGUAAAAUGAGCUGGAGAAGGAAGUGGCAAACCACUCCAUUAUCUUUGCCAGGAAAACCCCAAAUGGGGUCCAGAAGAGUCAGACAGGACUGAAAAAAAAACCGACUGAACAAUUACAACAAGAAUUCAUUAGAAGGGAGAGAAAGGGGAGAGGGGAACGGGGAGUACAUGAUCAGACCUGUGCUUUUGAAAAAUCAGUUUGUCAGUUGAGUGAAGAAUGGACUGGAGUAGGGAGAGACUUUAGUCAGGGAAACCAGUCAAAAAGCUUUUAAAGUAAUUCAGGUGAUGAGGGCUUACACCAGGUUGGUGUCAGUCUAUGGCACUUGGCAACAGACUGGAUAUGAAGAUAAGAGAAAGAUCAGAAUUUUUUCCUCCUUUGUAUAGGCUGAAGACUCAUGCCCAGCAGAGGAAUCUUGGAAGUCCACAGUGGAAGAGAUCUGAGAGGAAGCCAUACUGUGGGCUAUCAAGGACUUUUUUAGAAGGUAUUGAUUGGUUUCAUAGUCAUAGCUAUACUCUAACAAGGCAGGGCAAAGCCCC